Molecule: signal recognition particle RNA, 95 nt
Filed under: Deltaproteobacteria bacterium
Lineage: Bacteria; Pseudomonadati; Myxococcota; Myxococcia
Description: signal recognition particle sRNA small type
Rfam family: Bacterial small signal recognition particle RNA
About the family: The signal recognition particle (SRP) is a universally conserved ribonucleoprotein involved in the co-translational targeting of proteins to membranes. Archaeal SRP consists of a 7S RNA and homologues of the eukaryotic SRP19 and SRP54 proteins. In most bacteria, the SRP consists of a 4.5S RNA and the Ffh protein (a homologue of the eukaryotic SRP54 protein).
Source: RNAcentral
GUCGGGUUUUCGCGCAAUCGAAAGUUUCAAACCGUGUCAGAUCCGAAAGGAAGCAGCACUCCGAUUCCGUAGAUGUGCCGCGGAAAUCCGGCCAC